Long non-coding RNA from Mirounga angustirostris (Northern elephant seal), 7760 nucleotides. RefSeq lists it as uncharacterized. The transcript is spliced from 3 exons. The record is from RefSeq and is a predicted model, not a curated record. NCBI's taxonomy places the organism in Eukaryota, Metazoa, Chordata, Mammalia, Carnivora, Phocidae.
UCUAGCGGACCAGGCGGGCAUCUCUGCGCGGUGCAACUGCGCCGUGCUGUUCGCCCUGCUGGACUUAAGACUGUUAAACUUAUGCAGGCAGGACUUACUUAGCUCAUGUUUUCUUGGUCUGGGUGAUAUCAGAGUAUUAAUAAACUAAAUUUCCAGAGAGAUAAUCGGGUUAGUAGCCCUCUGUAGCGUUAAAAUCCCAGCCGUCAGAGAAUAGUGAUGGCGAGGGGCGAGGCGGCUCUGGGCUGCUGGAAAUACUGUCUCAGGAUUUCGAUGUUGGGUGCGCGGUGUCCCGUUUCUGAAAAUUCGGUGAGUUGUACACGUAUGUACACUUCUCUGUAGGUAUGUUAUAACUGAAUAAAACGUCUCAAGAAGAAAAAAAAAGAACUCAGGCUCCCUUCUCCCCAUUCUUCCUUGAGAGGUAUUUGGCAAAAAACAAACAAAAAAUACAAAAAGCCAAGGACAAGCACAGACUCUGAUCUUCCCGCCUUUCUAGGAAUUUAUCCAAAGGGAAUUAUCAAAUGCUUGAAGAAAGAUGGUUGUGUAGUGAUUCUUUUUUUUUUUCCCGGGGAGACGGCCUCAAUGUCCCAUCAGUGAGGAAUUAAUAAAUCAUGUUUCAGGCAUACAGUACUUUAUAUGCAGCCAUGAGAAAUGAUGUUGUAUACUUGGUAUGCUGGGGAAAUGCUCAAGAUAGGGUUUUUAAAAGAUAGAAAAUGAUGUUGGUGUGACUAAUAUUCUAAAGAAAAAUAAUACACAGGGAAAAAAACACCUAAAGGUACAUGAGGUAAAGCCACCUAAUCUACUAUAUUUUAUGUCUUAAAAGAACAGACAUGGAAGGUUCAUGUCCAUUAUCUUCAAAAAUUUUUGGUAUAUCUGAAAAUAUUUUUUUUAAGAUUUUAUUUAUUUAUUAGAGAGAGAGAGAGCACAAGCAAGGGGAGCAGCAGGCAAAGGGAGAGGGAGAAGUGGGCUCCUCCCAGGGAGCCCAACUCCCUCCCAGGACCCAGCUGAAGGCAGACACUUAACCAACUGAGCCACCCCAGCGCCCCUGAGAAUAUUUCUUUAAAAAUCUAAAGAUGAUGAGUCAAUUUCUAAUUUUUUUCUCCUUUUUUAUAGUUCUAUCAGUUAUUAUUUGCUAAAUCCAUUCGCUUUGCAAGGCCCUUGCUAAGUGCUUUGUUAUUCCAUUAUAUUAACAGGUAAUGGUGCAGGCUUUGCAGUCAGGUGCCCUGUGAUUCUGUUCACCUACAUCACUUUCUUAGAGUGAUGACCUUGGGAGAUUACUUAACCUCUCCUAACCACAAUUCCCUAAUACGUGAAUCAUAGGUCUGUUUGGUAAUCUUUAUAAAGUACCCAGCAUAUAGUAAGUGCUCAGCAAAUACUAAUUACUGUGACAGUACAACUAUGACACUCAGGUAGAUUCUGUUGUUAUUCAAAUUUUACUAUUGAGGAAAUUGAGGCAGGCUUGGAGAGAUUAUGAUUUACCCAAGGUCAGUCAUCUAGGAACUUGUCCAGUAGGGGUUCAAACUCAGGCAAUUUGAAUAAAGAUAAGGAGUGUAUUAAAUUGUUAAUAAUGACUGAUGAUUAGUUAGUAAAACAUGUGGAUAGCAAUAAAAAGGAAUGGAGAACUGAUACAACAUGGAUGACCCUCAAACACGUGCCAAGUGAAAGAAGCCAGAUACAAAAGACCACAUCCUAUAUGAUUCCAUUUCUAUGAAAUGUCCAAGACAGGGAGUAGAUUAGUGGUUGCUUAGGGUUGGGAGAGGGGCAGGGGCAGGGAUGGCAGCUAAUGGACGCAGAAUUUCUUUUGGGGGGAAAAAAUGUCCUAAAAUUAGAUUGUAAUGGUUGCCCAUCCCUGGGAAUAUACCAAAAACACUGGAUUAUAUACUUUAUUUUUUUUUAAAGAAUUUAUUUAUUUGACAGAGACACAGCAAGAGAAGGAACACAAGCAAGGGGAGUGGGAGAGGGAGAAGCAGGCUUCCCGCUGAGAAGGGAGCCUGAUGCGGUGCUCGAUCCCAGGACCCUGGGAUCAUGACCUGAGCCAAAGGCAGACGCUUAACGACUGAGCCACCCAGGCGCCCCUGGAUUAUACACUUUAAAUGAGCAAACUGUAUAGUCUCUGAAUUAUGUAUCAAGGAAGCUGUUAAUUUUUUUUUUUCCUGGUGUUUGCCUGUGGGGAUUACAUAAGAAGAGAAAUGAGACAAAGUUUUAGCAUUUAACUUUGCAUAUUCAGAAUUUUAAAAAUGUGUUUUCAAUGCACAUGUUAUUUUUAAUUACAAAAAUAUUAUUUUAAAAACAACUAAUUUGGGGAUGCCUGGGUGGCUCAAUCGGUUGAGCAUCUCCUUUCUGCUCAGGUCAUGAUCCCAGGGCCCUGGGAUCGAGUUCCACAUCAGUCUCCUUGCUGGGUGGAGAGCCUGCUUCUCCCUCUGCCUGAUGCUCCCUCUGCUUGUGCUCUCUCUCUCUCUCUCUGACAAAUAGAUAAAUAAAAUCUUAAACACACACACACACACACACGAAUUUGGGGCACCUGCGUGACUCAGUUGGUUGAGCAUUGACUCUCGGUUCUGGCUUAGGUCAUGAUCUCAGGGUCGUGAGAUGGAGCCCUGCGUCAGCUCUGUGCUCAGCAUGGAGUCCACUUGAGAUUCUUCCCCCCUCCCCCUCUGGUCCCCCCUACCUCAAGCACACACGUGUGCAUGCGUACACUUUCUCUCUCUCUCUCUCAAAUAAACAAAUCUUUUUUAAAAAAACCCCAACAACUAAUUUACUUUAAAAAAUCAGCAAAUAAAUAAAAUGCUACCCUAGACCCAGCUGGCCUAAUUUGUGUAGAAGGUCCCCAUACCUGCUUUGAGGACAGCAGGCCCCACAGAUAAGCACUAAAGAUGUUCAUUGUGCUAUUCACUUAGCAAAUAUGUAGUGAUGACCCAUUUGGUAGUGAUGAUACACAUGUGAAUAAUAUGCACCUCCUGCCCUGGCUAGCUGACAGCCUAGUUGGAGAACCAGCUCUGGACAUCAACAACUACAAUACACAAUGUUUAGACACAAUGAAGCAGAGGAGAGAAUGACUAAUGAGGUGGAGAGGCGUCCCAAAGCCAGGGGUGUUUGAGCUGGUUGUGGGGAGGAGCACCCAAGGCCAAGGCUUCAGGGAUGGGCUUCCACAGAAGAAAAGCUAGUGCCUCUCUGGGGGCCCCAUGAAAAAAUAGUUAAGCUCCAGGGUCUCCAAAGGAGGCCACCCUAAGACUUCGGGGCCAUAUGCACCCUUCUGAUGCACCAAAGUAGAAAAUGUAGGGGAGACAAGCCAGGCAAGGCUUUCAUUCUUCUGAAGCAGAUAAAUCCUAGACAGCACUCAGGUCUGUGCUGAAAUGGCUGUUGUCCAUUGUCUGAACAGUCCUGGACCCUCAAGUUGGCAAUGAGGAUGGAUACAGAAGGUUUGCCUAUGGUCAAGGCCCUGAAGGAAACACCAGCAAAGUCAAGUAAUGUGAUUUCUUUUUUAGCAUCGCAGGAGCAGGAAUUGUAAACCCUUGGUGACCUUCAAUCAUGGGUUGUAUUCCUGGAUACCCACAGGAAUGAGGCUGUCAAGUGUGAUGGUUACAGAUAUGGGCUCUGUGGCCAGAGAGACUGGGUUAAAUCCAGUACCUACCUUACAGAGUCAGCGUGUUUAGAGUGGCACCUGGCAAGUGGCAAGCAUGAAAAAAAAUAUGAACUAUUAUCUUCCCAUAUAUCCAAAGCAAGGAAAUAAGAUUUUGGAUGAAGAAAGCGUUAAGUAUAUGGUGAUAUGUGGAUGUCAUCUAGUUCCCCUCAUCGCAGAUAUACUGUCCAUCUUCUUGGAAACAUCAUGAAGACUCUCAUUACCCACCUUACCUUGGAACAGUUGACAUGAGUUGAGUUAAAGGCUUCUAGUGAGUAAGAAAAUAUGUUACACGGCAGUGCGGGACUUGGAGGGUGGGGUGAGAAUGAGUGAUCAGCCCCAUUCAAGGGCAUUUUCCAUAUGGUAGGCAGAAAGACAUCCCCAAAGAUGCCCACACCCAAAUCCUCCAGAACCUGUAGAUAUAUUACUACAUAUGCCCAAAGGGACUUUCCAGAUGUGAUUAAGGUUAUGGACCGUAUGAUGGCAAGAUUAUCCUGAAUCAUUUGGAUGGGCCCAAUCUAAUCAUAUGGAUCCUUCCAAGAGGAGAAUCUUUGCCAGAUGAUUUAGAGGGAGGUGGAAUUAUGGAAGAAGAGUCAGACAGAUGCACCUGUCCUGGUUUUGAAGAUGGAGGAAGGGGCCAUGAGCCAAGGAAGGUAAGUGGCCUCUAGAAACCAGAAAAAGCAAGGAAAGGAUUCUCCACUGAGCCUCCAGAAAGGACUGCAGCCCAGCCAACACCUCAAUUUUAGCCCUGUGAGACCCAUGUAAGACUUCUAACCUAUAGAAUUGUGAGAUGGUAGAGGCGCCUGGGUGGCUCAGUCGGUUGAGCAUCUGACUCUUGAUUUUGGCUCAGGUCAUGAUCUCAGGGUCCCAGGAUCAAGCCCCGCAUCUGACUCCCCGUUCAGCAGCAAGUCUGCUUGUCUCCCUCUCCCGCUGCCCCUCCCCCUGCUUGUGCUCUCUCUCGCUCUCUCUCGCUCUCUGAAAUAAUAAAUAAUCUUUAAAAAAAGAAUUGUGAGAUAACAACUUUGUGGGAGUUGUGCGGUAGUUUAUUACAGCAGCAAUGGGAGAUGAAUACACUCCCAUGCAAAUCCUCUCUUCAGUGCAGACUGUCCUGUUUAUUCACUGUCCACAGUCACAAAAAGCUGCUUCUCCAUUUCUGUCUCUACCUUCUCUGCAGGAGGCUGAGUACCCCUCAGACGACUCCUAAGAUAGAGCCACAUGUCUCACGGUCUCGGAUGUGUGCAAGUGCACGCGUGAGCACACCCACAGCUCUAGGCCCCCCUCCUGUGGCUGCCGCUAACCUCGUCGCAGUAAUGGUAGCAGGGCAGGGUGCUAUUGUUCCCAGGCCCUAAGGCCUGGCCUCCUGCCUCACACCAUUGCUGUAGGUUUCCUUAGGCUCCCUUAGUUUAUUUUCAUUCUCUGGCUGCUGGAGUCUGUGGGGCCAGGUGGGGGGACAGUCAGAAUGUAAGGCAUAGCUCUGUGCCCUUCAACCAAGCAGGAGACUUCACUCUGCACUCUUGGGAGGGAGCUUUUUCCCUGGAGGCUCCUUUGGUCUCAGUCCCAUCUCCAGCCCAGGCAACCCAAGCCUGACUCCUGGGGCCUCUACCGUGAGCUUACACAGUUCUCUGAAACUUAUAUAGUUCCCUGAAAAGUACUUAGAACAGUGCCUGGCAUUUAGUAAGCACUGCAUAAGAGAGCUUAUAAACAAAUAUCCUACAUAUGUUCUGUCUGCUGUCUCGUGUGAUUUGUAUAGCAUAGGGAUUAAGAACACAGAUGUUAGGGUCAGACUGCUGGCCUUCGUUUGGAUCCUGUCUGCCCCACCUACUAACUUUAUGACUUAAUCUUCUAAGUAUCUUCUAAAUUUCCCUGUCUAUAAAAUGUUGAUAAUUCUAUUUACCUCCUAAGAUUAAAUGUGAUGAUAAACAUGCAGUGGUUUUGAAGCAUGUCUGCAAAUUUAGCAGGGCUAAAAUUGCAAAUAAAACUCUUCCUUCACAGGGUGGAGACUAAUUCCCCACCCCCCCAUCUUGAAUACAGGCUGGAAUUUUGACUCACUAGUACUGAACAGAAGGCUGUUGAAAGUGACACCACGUGACUUCUGAGGCUGAGGCAAAAAGGCUAUGCAGGUCCCAUCUGGCUCUCUCUCUCAGGACAUGGGUUUUAAAGCCCUGAGUCAUCCAGGAAGAAGUGUGGCUAUCUUCAUACCACUAGGCUGGAGGCACCACAUGGAGAAAUCACACACUUACACAGACUUUUGCAGCCCCCAGCCAUUUGAAUCUUCCCAGCUCAGGCAUCAGACCUGUGACUGAUGAAGCCUUUGAAAUGACCCCAGCUCAAGUCAGUGUCUGAUUGCAAUUCCAUGAGAAACCCUUACCCAGAACCUUCUUGCUGAGCCCAUUCAACCUCCAGAGUGAUCAAAAGUAAUAAUAAUUCUUACAGUUGUUGUUUUACAAUUUGGGUUGUUUUGUUACACAGCAAUAGGUAACUGAUAUGCACAUAAAGCACCUCGAACAUGAAAAGCAUGGAGUAAAUAGUAGUCCUAAUUCUUAUUACUUCAAAUUAGCACCAUCCUGGCCCACUAGGGCUUCAUUUAUUAAUAAUGGCAGCUACAAUUUCUUGAGUACUUAGUAUAAAUCAAGCAUAGUCCAUAUGCAAUUUCUUCUUCACUCUGCAUGAGUAUCAUUAUCCCUUUUUUACUGAACCUCCAAGGGGUUAAGUAAUUACCUGAGGCUACACCCAAGGAGUAAUGUGGCUUAGAUUCAACCCUUGGCUCCUCUGACUCUCAGAGCCUGUUGUAAAGCAUACUCCAGUAUAGUAACUGCCACUUGAGUCCUUCUAAAAUGCUGCCCAUGCUGAGUCCUCUGCCCAGGCUGGACCACCAACAGCUAUCUCCAUGAAGAGCUAACAGGACUGGGGCUCUUGCCAUCCCCUGCAGUGUUCUUUCAGGUUGACUUCUGCACACUUGACAUCAGGCAGGAGCCAGAACUUGGAAUUUCCUAGAUGAUGCUCAGGAGGUGUGAUGAGAUGGACUCAGUUGGACCUGAUUUACCAUCAUGCAUGAAACAACCAAAAAAAAAAUUAAAAAGACAAAGUACAUGAAAGAAAGAUUUUUCAAUGAAAGAUGGUGAUUUCUGAGAGACAGAAACAAAAGGAGUGAGCCCUAUAAAAAUCCAGCUUACUAUUUUGAGAAAGUUCUCAGGACAUGAUACAGGGAGGCAGAACUGAGGCAGAGUCUGGCAGAGUCUGGCAACUCCCUGAGUUGAGAAGACAAAAUGGACAGCAAGAGAGACAGAGGCUUCUAGAGUUCAUAAAACAGAGUAACAGAGAGAAGAAAACCAUACAGAGAGAGGUCUCUGAAGAUCUACAGAGGGUCCUCCUCAAGUAUUCAGUGGAUCACUGAAUCAAUGCAUGCAUGUGAGGAAACGGAGUAUGGGGGAAAGAUCAAUCCAAAAGGAAUAAAGGAAACAGUGCCUGUUUCUGCGAAUCAGACUGGGAAAACUUAUAAUUCAUUGGGUGGAGUAUUGAGGAAAAUCUUCCCUCAUUAAUGGGAAAUGAUUAGCUCCAGACUGAGCAUUGCUACUGACCUGCAUAGCAAAUAAUGAAAGCAAAACCCAAAAGGAUCCAACUGUUUCCAAGUAAUCUAACUGCAUCCCAGAGCAAAACUCAAGAUUUAUAGGAAUACAAAAAUAUCCAACACCUAACCAGAUAAAGAUCCAACGUCUAGCAUCCAAUCAAAGACUGCUAGGCGUAUAAAGAAGCGAGAAAAUAUGACUGAUAAUGAGUAGAUUUAAAAAAUCAGAGAAAGACAUUAAAACAGUUAUUAUAGGGGCACUUGGGUGGCUCAGUUGUUAAGCAUCUGCCUUCGGCUCAGGUCAUGAUCUCAGGAUCCUGGGAUCGAGCCCCACAUCGGGCUCCCUGCUUGGCGGGAAGCCUGCUUCUCUCUCUCCCAUUCCCCCUGCUUGUGUUCCCUCUCUCGCUGUGUCUCUUUCUGUCAAAUAAAUAAAAUAUUAAAAAAAAAAAAACAGUUAUUAUAACUGUAUUCCAUAUGCUUAGAAAGUUAAGUUGAGGACUUGAAUGGACAUUUCUCCAAAGAUGAUAUAGAAUGGCCAAGAAGCAUUUGAAAAGAUGUUCAACAUCACUAAUCAUGAGA